RNAcentral lists this ribosomal RNA (171 nucleotides) under uncultured bacterium. Its description in RNAcentral is "partial 16S ribosomal RNA". It matches the Rfam family "Bacterial small subunit ribosomal RNA", at positions 1322 to 1500 of the family's 1533-position model. The record is from RNAcentral.
GAAGUUGGAUUCGCUAGUAAUCGCGCAUCAGCCAUGGCGCGGUGAAUACGUUCCCGGGCCUUGUACACACCGCCCGUCAAGCCAUGGGAGCCGGGGGCGCCUGAAGUCCGGGACCGCGAGGACCGGCCUAGGGCGAAACUGGUGACUGGGGCUAAGUCGUAACAAGGUAUC